Long non-coding RNA from Cynoglossus semilaevis (tongue sole), 579 nucleotides. RefSeq lists it as uncharacterized. The record is from RefSeq and is a predicted model, not a curated record. The transcript is spliced from 3 exons. Lineage: Eukaryota; Metazoa; Chordata; Actinopteri; Pleuronectiformes; Cynoglossidae.
GCAACUGAGCCAAUCAACUCCUGAGAAAGGGGGGCACGAGUAACCAAUCAGCGGGCUGUUCGGUGAGGUACCGCCCAUACUUCCGCCGCAAGCUUCCGCCGUGAGACUCGCUUCGCUGUUGCAUUUUACGGCUCCGAUCAUUUAAUCAGUCAGAAUUAAUACAUUUUCCCGCAAUCGAUGUCAUUCGCCAGAAGAGUAAAAAUCAUGAAGUCAUGACCCAGUCGUGAUGCUGUUGGCAGGCAGUACAGUAAAGAGCUUCCUCACAGCUGCAUUCAACAGGCAUCAGGAGUGGAGAAUGAAAAAGGCAGCUCUGAAGGAUAAGGAGCAAAAGGAAGUGGGGACCAACCAAAAAAGAACCACCAAAAAGACAAUUACACCUACACCUGUAAGCUGUACGUAAAAGUAAAAGCAAAGUUACUGGCCAUAUGCAGCACAGAGGCAAAUGGUUCUGUCCAGCACCUGGACAGACUUUGGUUGAAUGGAAGUAGUCUCUGUAAGCCUUCAUAUUUCUAUUACUGUAUAUAUGUAUAUAUGCAUUUAUGUAUGUUGGUAUUUCUGAAUAUCUAUGUAUAUAUCAAU